This 903-nucleotide ribosomal RNA is filed under the name Leptoxyphium kurandae. Its description in RNAcentral is "LSU rRNA". It matches the Rfam family "Eukaryotic large subunit ribosomal RNA", at positions 37 to 963 of the family's 3401-position model. The record is from RNAcentral. Lineage: Eukaryota; Fungi; Ascomycota; Dothideomycetes; Capnodiales; Capnodiaceae.
AGCAUAUCAAUAAGCGGAGGAAAAGAAACCAACAGGGAUUGCCUCAGUAACGGCGAGUGAAGCGGCAAAAGCUCAGAUUUGAAAUCUGGCGUCUUCGGCGUCCGAGUUGUAAUCUGUAGAGGAUGCCUUUGGGUAGCCACCGGUCUAAGUCCCCUGGAACGGGGUGUCACAGAGGGUGAGAAUCCCGUAUGUGACCGGAAGGGCGCCCUAUACAUGGCUCCUUCGACGAGUCGAGUUGUUUGGGAAUGCAGCUCUAAAUGGGAGGUAAAUUCCUUCUAAAGCUAAAUACCGGCCAGAGACCGAUAGCGCACAAGUAGAGUGAUCGAAAGAUGAAAAGCACUUUGGAAAGAGAGUUAAAAAGCACGUGAAAUUGUUGAAAGGGAAGCGCUUGCAACCAGACUUGUUGGCGGUGUUCCGCCGGUCUUCUGACCGGUCUACUCACCGUCUGCAGGCCAGCAUCAUCUGGGACCGCUGGAUAAAAGCGGAGGGAAUGUGGCUCCUCCGGGAGUGUUAUAGCCCUCUGUGUAAUACAGCGAGUCCCGGGUGAGGUCCGCGCUUCGGCUAGGAUGCUGGCGUAAUGGUCGUAAGCGGCCCGUCUUGAAACACGGACCAAGGAGUCUAACAUCUAUGCGAGUGUUCGGGUGUCAAACCCCUACGCGUAAUGAAAGUGAACGGAGGUGGGAACCUUUUAGGUGCACCAUCGACCGAUCCUGAUGUCUUCGGAUGGAUUUGAGUAAGAGCAUAGCUGUUGGGACCCGAAAGAUGGUGAACUAUGCCUGGAUAGGGUGAAGCCAGAGGAAACUCUGGUGGAGGCUCGCAGCGGUUCUGACGUGCAAAUCGAUCGUCAAAUUUGGGUAUAGGGGCGAAAGACUAAUCGAACCAUCUAGUAGCUGGUUCCUGCGA